RNAcentral lists this ribosomal RNA (250 nucleotides) under uncultured bacterium. RNAcentral describes it as "partial 16S ribosomal RNA". It matches the Rfam family "Bacterial small subunit ribosomal RNA", at positions 524 to 769 of the family's 1533-position model. The record is from RNAcentral.
UACGUAGGGUGCAAGCGUUGUCCGGAAUUAUUGGGCGUAAAGAGCUCGUAGGCGGUCUGUCGCGUCUGCUGUGAAAACUCGGGGCUUAACCCCGGGCCUGCAGUGGGUACGGGCAGACUAGAGUGCGGUAGGGGAGACUGGAAUUCCUGGUGUAGCGGUGAAAUGCGCAGAUAUCAGGAGGGAACACCGGUGGGCGAAGGCGGGUCUCUGGGCCGUAACUGACGCUGGAGGAGCGAAAGCGUGGGGGAGC